Molecule: non-coding RNA, 73 nt
Organism: Cordylochernes scorpioides
Lineage: Eukaryota; Metazoa; Arthropoda; Arachnida; Pseudoscorpiones; Chernetidae
Source: the annotation of a GenBank genome assembly
GUCCAGGGGCGGGAAUCGAACCCACAACCUUCUGCUUACCGAGCAGGUGCCAUGUCCACUAGGCUACCCUGGA